RNAcentral lists this transfer RNA (140 nucleotides) under Microcella frigidaquae. Its description in RNAcentral is "Chryseoglobus frigidaquae tRNA-Pro". Lineage: Bacteria; Bacillati; Actinomycetota; Actinomycetes; Micrococcales; Microbacteriaceae. The record is from RNAcentral.
CGGCUUGGGGAGCGUCACCACGGCAUCUCCCGGCAAGAAGAACCCUGGAAAAGUCAAGAGUCCGGCAACUCCUGCACAUCAACCCCACCCAUGGCUCGGUAAUCGGGCGGUUGCGGGUUCGAGUCCCGCAGUCGGCUCCA